This 235-nucleotide ribosomal RNA is filed under the name uncultured bacterium. Its description in RNAcentral is "partial 16S ribosomal RNA". It matches the Rfam family "Bacterial small subunit ribosomal RNA", at positions 99 to 334 of the family's 1533-position model. The record is from RNAcentral.
CGGACGGGUGAGUAACGCGUGGGCAACCUGCCCUAUACAGGGGGAUAACAACCAGAAAUGGUUGCUAAUACCGCAUAAGCGCACAGGACCGCAUGGUCCGGUGUGAAAAACUCCGGUGGUAUAGGAUGGACCCGCGUUGGAUUAGCCAGUUGGCAGGGUAACGGCCUACCAAAGCGACGAUCCAUAGCCGGCCUGAGAGGGUGAACGGCCACAUUGGGACUGAGACACGGCCCAG